This 402-nucleotide ribosomal RNA is filed under the name uncultured bacterium. RNAcentral describes it as "bacterial SSU rRNA". It matches the Rfam family "Bacterial small subunit ribosomal RNA", at positions 357 to 776 of the family's 1533-position model. The record is from RNAcentral.
GGGAAUAUUGCACAAUGGGGGAAACCCUGAUGCAGCGACGCCGCGUGAAGGAAGAAGUAUUUCGGUAUGUAAACUUCUAUCAGCAGGGAAGAAAAUGACGGUACCUGACUAAGAAGCCCCGGCUAACUACGUGCCAGCAGCCGCGGUAAUACGUAGGGGGCAAGCGUUAUCCGGAUUUACUGGGUGUAAAGGGAGCGUAGACGGCUGUGCAAGCCAGAUGUGAAAGCCCGGGGCUCAACCCCGGGACUGCAUUUGGAACUGUGUGGCUGGAGUGCAGGAGAGGUGAGCGGAAUUCCUAGUGUAGCGGUGAAAUGCGUAGAUAUUAGGAGGAACACCAGUGGCGAAGGCGGCUCACUGGACUGUAACUGACGUUGAGGCUCGAAAGCGUGGGGAGCAAACAGG